RNAcentral lists this ribosomal RNA (292 nucleotides) under uncultured bacterium. Its description in RNAcentral is "partial 16S ribosomal RNA". It matches the Rfam family "Bacterial small subunit ribosomal RNA", at positions 505 to 796 of the family's 1533-position model. The record is from RNAcentral.
GUGCCAGCCGCCGCGGUAAUACGUAGGGUGCGAGCGUUAAUCGGAAUUACUGGGCGUAAAGCGUGCGCAGGCGGUUUUGUAAGACAGGCGUGAAAUCCCCGGGCUCAACCUGGGAACUGCGCUUGUGACUGCAAGGCUAGAGUAUGGCAGAGGGGGGUGGAAUUCCACGUGUAGCAGUGAAAUGCGUAGAGAUGUGGAGGAACACCAAUGGCGAAGGCAGCCCCCUGGGCCAAUACUGACGCUCAUGCACGAAAGCGUGGGUAGCAAACAGGAUUAGAUACCCGCGUAGUCC